AUAAAAUCUAAUGAUUUCUUAUAGGAAGGCUAGGCUUGGUGGGUACAAGUAAGAAAGCCAAGCAGAGAGAAGUCUGGACUUUGCCUUCUCCACUUCCUUGGAAGACAGGCUGCUCAUCCCAUUGUGGUGCCUCGGCUGGUGUAUGUUUUCUGCCUAGGCUUAACGGACAGCACCAGGAGGUAGGGACUGACACUACCCAUGUUUUACAGUGGAAGAACCUGAGGCUUAAAGAGUCCUUGCAGCUCUGUAUGCUGAUUAUUUG
RNAcentral lists this long non-coding RNA (262 nucleotides) under Pan troglodytes (chimpanzee). RNAcentral's name for it is "long non-coding RNA NONPTRT010396". Lineage: Eukaryota; Metazoa; Chordata; Mammalia; Primates; Hominidae. The record is from RNAcentral.